CAGUCGCCGCGGGAAUACGAAGGGUGCAAGCGUUACUCGGAAUUACUGGGCGUAAAGCGUGCGUAGGUGGUGGUUUAAGUCCGUUGUGAAAGCCCUGGGCUCAACCUGGGAAUUGCAGUGGAUGCUGGAUCACUAGAGUGUGGUAGAGGAUAGUGGAAUUUCCGGUGUAGCAGUGAAAUGCGUAGAGAUCGGAAGGAACAUCUGUGGCGAAGGCGACUAUCUGGGCCAACACUGAUACUGAGGCACGAAAGCGUGGGGAGCAAACAGGAUUAGAGACCCCUGUAGUCCCUGUCUCUUAUAC
RNAcentral lists this ribosomal RNA (301 nucleotides) under uncultured bacterium. RNAcentral describes it as "partial 16S ribosomal RNA". It matches the Rfam family "Bacterial small subunit ribosomal RNA", at positions 509 to 807 of the family's 1533-position model. The record is from RNAcentral.